This 520-nucleotide long non-coding RNA is filed under the name Equus caballus (horse). RNAcentral describes it as "lncRNA (ENSECAG00000058519.1)". The record is from RNAcentral. Lineage: Eukaryota; Metazoa; Chordata; Mammalia; Perissodactyla; Equidae.
GCCCCAAAGAAUCACAGGAAUAUUUGAAGACAUAGACGAAAAUUCACACCCACCCUACGAACAGAUCUUAGAUCUAACGUAAUUUAAUUCCAUAAUUCACAUAAACCUCCAACAAGUUGGAAAUAACUUCUAUAUAUAAAUGAAAGGAUCAGAAACAUUCAGAAAACAUCUCUUGCCUUUGAGAUUCACCCAGCUUCUACCAUGGAAUUUCUGGAGUUAUUAGGUGAUAAAACUAUUGGUGGACCUCUUGCAAAAUUUCAGUCCUCCGUAACAAAGUAUCCAUCUGUAGCUCAGAAGAGCAGAAUAACCGAUUUGUAAGUAAAGCUCAAGUUCUUUAGCACAACAUUCAACGCUACCCACGUCUGUGUAGAAGCUCAAGUGGAGCCUGUAUAUUAUGACUCGAAGAAUUCACCAAUAGAUGGCUGAGUGUCCACCACCGAAAUAGCUGAUGUGAUGGAACGUGGUUCACAAAGUCUUGAAGCAGGAUGGAAUCUGGACACUGAAAAAAAAUAGAGAAGAG